Molecule: ribosomal RNA, 581 nt
Filed under: Comatricha anastomosans
Lineage: Eukaryota; Evosea; Eumycetozoa; Stemonitida; Stemonitidae
Description: bacterial SSU rRNA
Rfam family: Eukaryotic small subunit ribosomal RNA
Source: RNAcentral
AAGCCAUGCAUGUCUUCGAAUAUGAGGUAGCAAUUCUCUCUGAAUCUGCGAACGGCUCCGCAAACCAGUUGUAAGACACAGCAGUCCCGGGCCUAUCCCCUAGCUUCGCGGCCGGGGGGUAGCCCAUCUAUAUGGAUAACCCUGGUAAUUCUGAGGCUAAUACAUGACACAAUCAAACUUCCGUCGCCAGGGCCCUCACGGGCCUAGGCGGUGGGAGGGCGUGCGAGUUAAGGCUUGGGUAAUCAGGACAGAACGCACGCACUGGACCGCCAUUAAGCGGGGUGGGGAUGGGCCUUCACGGGCCUGACCCUGCCCUGGCGGCUCCUGGGUAUCGCUUCUGACCUAUCAAUUAGACGGCAGCUUAUGGGACAUGCUAUGGUGGCAACGGGUACAGAGGAUAAGGGUUCGAUCCUGGAGAGUGGGCCUGAGAGAUUGCUCAUACUUCUAAGGAAGGCAGCAGGCGCGCAACGUUCCCCUUGGACAAUGUCCGAGGGCGUUAGGGGACAUAUGAAUGGCUGCCUUUACGGUGGCCAAUUCAAAUGGGUCUGUCGUAAACAGGCUCUCGAGUAACAAUUAGAGGA